RNAcentral lists this small nuclear RNA (118 nucleotides) under Zalophus californianus (California sea lion). Its description in RNAcentral is "U4 spliceosomal RNA (ENSZCAG00015006544.1)". It matches the Rfam family "U4 spliceosomal RNA". Rfam says of the family: U4 small nuclear RNA (U4 snRNA) is a component of the major U2-dependent spliceosome. The structure of U4 snRNA from yeast and human has been reported. U4 snRNA presents a k-turn RNA motif in the 5p-SL related to recognition of Snu13 protein. Lineage: Eukaryota; Metazoa; Chordata; Mammalia; Carnivora; Otariidae. The record is from RNAcentral.
AGCUUUGCGCAGUGGCAGGAUCGUAGCCAAUGAGGUUUAUCCGAGGCGCGAUUAUUGCUAUUUUCUCCCUAAUAUUUACUAUAUCUUAAAAUUAUAUUUAUUUGACUGAAUAACUUCU